AUUUUUUAGAAGUAGCACUUGUCUGGUAUAAUCUGUUUUCAGUGCUGAUAAUUACUGAUGAUCACUACUAUUUAAAAAAGAAAAGGCACCAACGUAAGAUUUUGAUAAUGGUUUAGAGAAUAAAAUUUCACCAUUCAUUUUGGCAUAGUUCAGCUCUUUAUAUAGAUUUUUACAAACAUUUUUAAAUAAAUUGAUAUUCUAUAUAACAAAUUUUUAAACUUUUAGAACUUUGAAAUCUGUCAAUACAUAUACAAUUUAAAGAGAAAAUUAUGAAUUACAUUCAUAUGCAAUUCUCAGGUUAAAAAAUAAAAUUUUAUGAGUACCUUAGAAACCUCCCUAUGCUUUCCUCGUCACACCCCUGAAUCUAGAGAUAAUCAUUGUUCUUGUAAUGAAAAUAAUUUCCUUAUUUUUCUAUGUAUUUUUUAGCUGUUAUGUGUACUAGUUCUCACACCUUUUGUUAAAAAAAUUUCCAAACCAUGACAAACUCUUGCAGAGACAAGUUAGGUAUUAGCAAUGUCAGAUUGUUCAGUGUUUCUUAAUGCUUACUUCUGUACAUACUUAACUUUUCAUCAGCCUAUAAUAGUUCACUAAUCAGUGUCUAGACUGCACUUUUGAGUAUGCUGAUCGAUAUCUGCAUUCCUUUAAAAUGUUACAUUCUAAUUAAUAAGUAAAAUGUUACACAUUUUGUGACUCUCUCAACAUUGAGAGUCAUCCAUUG
Molecule: long non-coding RNA, 718 nt
Filed under: Marmota monax (woodchuck)
Lineage: Eukaryota; Metazoa; Chordata; Mammalia; Rodentia; Sciuridae
Source: RNAcentral